This 2133-nucleotide ribosomal RNA is filed under the name Triticum aestivum (bread wheat). Its description in RNAcentral is "partial small subunit ribosomal RNA". The record is from RNAcentral. Lineage: Eukaryota; Viridiplantae; Streptophyta; Magnoliopsida; Poales; Poaceae.
CGUGGAGACGAGCGAGCCGUCAAAGCCGACGACCUCGGCAAGGUUAGGUCACGUCGUCUAGCUCGUCUUCUUCCUCGAUCCAGCGGCGCCGCCGGCCUCUAUAAAUCAAAGCACCGCUCCUCUGCGGCAACGUACGCACACCACCCGCAGGCAGGGAAGCCACAGCGUUCCGCUCGACGCCGGCCGUCCCCAUCCACCUCGCCUCCCGCUACAUUCGGAUUCUGGUGCGCAAUUUCUUCUUUUAUCCGUUCCGGCGGCGAUACCAUAGGGUUGCUCUUGAAUGAUGAAGCGGGUAGAUUUGUUGUUUUCCCUUGUGAUUUCUCAAGAGCCUUGCAUUGGCUGCUCUGCUCGUGAAAAAUCUCAGCGCAAAUGAGUGACAUGUAGGGGCACCAAAGUCUCUGGUCGUUGGAAGGAUAGAGUUUGCCAUGUCGUCGUCGUGUGUCCGUUGCGUGCGAGCAGUAAGCUGCUGCAAUGUAGUAGUACAAAAGCGAAUGAAAAGCAGAGCCGUCCGUAUGGCAUUUUCCUUUCUCUAGAAUAUAUAUAAAAAUGUCGCCAUCCUUCAAUAUAUAAGGGUUUGAGUGGUUCACAGCUUCACAACGCCUUCACAAUUGAUUGAGAGAUCGUUCGUUAUCCUACUGGAGUCUGCAGAAGGGAUGGCGACCAAGGUGGUGGACCUGCGCUCAGACACGGUGACCAAGCCGUCGGAGGCCAUGCGGGCCGCCAUGGCCGCGGCGGACGUGGACGACGACGUGCUGGGCGCCGACCCGACGGCCUGCCGCUUCGAGGCGGAGAUGGCGCGGAUCAUGGGCAAGGAGGCCGCGCUGUUCGUCCCCUCGGGCACCAUGGCCAACCUCAUCUCCGUCCUCGCGCACUGCGACGCCAGGGGCAGCGAGGUCAUCCUCGGCCACGACUCCCACAUCCACGUCUACGAGCACGGCGGCAUCUCCACCCUCGGCGGCGUCCACCCCCGGACCGUCCCCAACAACCCCGACGGCACCAUGGACGUCGACAGGAUCGUCGCCGCCAUCCGGAGCACGGACGGGGCGCUCUACUACCCCACCACCAGGCUCAUCUGCUUGGAGAACACCCAUGGAAAUUCGGGUGGGAAGUGUCUGACCGUGGAAUACACUGACAAGGUUGGUGAAGUUGCUAAGGCUCAUGGCUUGAAGCUUCAUAUCGACGGAGCUCGUAUCUUCAAUGCCUCCGUGGCACUUGGAGUUCCCGUUGACAGACUCGUGAGAGCUGCCGAUUCAGUUUCGAUAUGCCUGUCGAAAGGGAUAGGUGCUCCUGUUGGAUCAGUUAUUGUUGGUACCAAGGCCUUCAUACACAAGGCUAAAAUUCUUAGGAAGACACUGGGUGGUGGAAUGAGGCAGGUAGGAGUCCUUUGUGCUGCUGCCGAAGUCGGUGUUCGCGACACCGUAGGCAAGCUUGCGGAUGACCAUCGGAAGGCUAAAGUUUUAGCAGAUGGACUGAAGAAAAUCAAACAGUUCACAGUUGAUUUGAGUUCAGUGGAGACCAAUAUGGUAUUCUUUGAUAUGGCGGAUCCACGCAUAUCACCUGCCAAACUGUGCCAAGCCCUGAAACAACGCAAUGUGCUUGCAAUGCCAACAAGCUCCAAGAGCGUCAGAUUCGUCGUCCACUACCAAAUUUCAGAUAGCGACAUCCAGUAUACUUUAAAAUGUAUCGAGGAAGCCGUGGAGGAAAUCCUGGCCUGCGACGCCAAAUCGGAGCGUUGUUCGACCAACGGCACAAGCUAGCUAGGCCACACUUCUUGAAUUACUACGUGAUUGCUAUGCAUGAUGCACUAUCCAGUUCGUUUGUGAAAUAAUUGAUUGCCUGUGGUCGUGUCAAUGUCGUGGGCAUGUGGUCGUGUUCUUCUGUGUUCUUCAGCUUGGGGAGCAUGCAAUGCAAUUAGGGAUUGUUGUGACGAUACAGGUGGAUCAAUGGUCUACUUUGUUUGGCGUAUUGUUUGACCGUAGUACCCCUCGUCCAGCUACAUCUACCAUGACAGCGUAUUCUCUUCUGCUUGGGAACCUGUUCUGCAUGUUUUGCUAUUGCCCGAACGAUCGAUCCACCUGUUGUACGUUGAUGGGUUUUUUCUUGGGUCAAAAUAAAUCAACAUUGUGGGAAUUG